This 1080-nucleotide long non-coding RNA is filed under the name Mustela putorius furo (domestic ferret). Its description in RNAcentral is "lncRNA (ENSMPUG00000026005.1)". The record is from RNAcentral. Lineage: Eukaryota; Metazoa; Chordata; Mammalia; Carnivora; Mustelidae.
GCGAAUCUGUAAUAAUUUCCUUAGGCUCAUCCAGAUUCGUCCUCACUUACCCAGUUUAUGGGGCAUAAAUUCUUAGAUACACAAUCUAUAGAAGAAUGUCAUUAACAACAUAAAUCUGAAAACAAUUUAUGUCCUCCGCUAUCUUACCGCUUCGGUUUCUCAAAACCUUGUCUAAGUAGUCUGGUUUGCUUAAGAGAGCUGCAGGGAACCCAGUGUCCGGGUUUAACAGCCCAUUGAGAGAAACGGGCCACGUGCUGGCUUGCGGAAAGCUGUUGCUUUUCACCUGGAGCCUGGAAGCAGCCCCUCUGUGCCGCUAAAACUUUUCAGAGUGCACAGGCGGGAAAGUAACAUAGUAGGGAAUGAAGGACUCCCUCUUGAUUCCUUACAGUUCUCUUUUGGUUCUCAAACUGACCUCCACACACAGAGGGCAGGGAGAGAUGGAAAAAACAGCAGCCACUUCCCAGAUGCGUGGGUGGCAGGUUUAAUCAGCCACGGAGCUUCCACACGAGUUUUGUCCCGCACAGCGGCAACUCCAGUAGGUCUCCUCAUCUGCCCGCCAGAAUCUUCCAAGUUCACCUACGGCACAGACGGUCUCAGCAACACGGCGCUCUCUCUAAGCUGUGUCCAUGGAAAAGGCUCCCCCGCUAGGAAUGGUGGGCAGAACGUGCAAGCGGAGAGGGGGCGUGACGAGCUUCCCAUUGCGCAGAUCCAGCUCUCGAGUCAACAAGCCGUCAUGUUCUCCCGAUGACCCCCUUCCAAUACUCUGCCCCCUCGUGCGGCCUCGAGGUCAAUUCGUUAGAUUCUGGCAGGCAGGUGCAGAGGUCUACUCCAGCUGCGGGCGCGCAGGACAAGCCCCACACCCGAGCUCUCCGGCUUGUUAAGGCGACCACCUACUGGUCUGGAGUGGCUGCCUCCUUCCUCCGUCUCUCGCUGCCCUCUGCGUGGGGGGGUCAGAUUCAGAUGACCCCAGCGAAGUUUCUGAGGCUGAGAAAACAUUUCCACCCACGUAAAACACAAGUGCGGAAGAGUAAAGAGAAGAAAAAGGUUCCUUAUGUUCCCAGAGAGACUGUGAGUUCUUAA